RNAcentral lists this ribosomal RNA (459 nucleotides) under uncultured bacterium. RNAcentral describes it as "partial 16S ribosomal RNA". It matches the Rfam family "Bacterial small subunit ribosomal RNA", at positions 338 to 795 of the family's 1533-position model. The record is from RNAcentral.
CCUACGGGAGGCAGCAGUGAGGAAUAUUGGUCAAUGGUCGGGAGACUGAACCAGCCAAGCCGCGUGAGGGAUGAAGGUACAGAGUAUCGUAAACCUCUUUUGUCAGGGAACAAAGGCGGGGACGUGUCCCCGGAUGAGUGUACCUGAAGAAAAAGCAUCGGCUAACUCCGUGCCAGCAGCCGCGGUAAUACGGAGGAUGCGAGCGUUAUCCGGAUUUAUUGGGUUUAAAGGGUGUGCAGGCGGUCUGUUAAGUCAGCGGUAAAAGCCCGGGGCUCAACCCCGGCCCGCCGUUGAAACUGGCAGUCUCGAGUUGGAGAGAAGGAUGGGGAAUGCGCGGUGUAGCGGUGAAAUGCAUAGAUAUCGCGCAGAACUCCGAUUGCGAAGGCAGCAUGCCGGCUCCACACUGACGCUGAGGCACGAAAGCGUGGGUAUCGAACAGGAUUAGAUACCCCUGUAGUC